UAGUCCACGCCGUAAACGAUGAGUACUAGUUAUUGCGGGUAUUGACCCCUGCAGUGACGCAGCUAACGCAUUAAGUACUCCGCCUGGGGAUUACGGUCGCAAGACUAAAACUCAAAGGAAUUGACGGGGGCCCGCACAAGCGGUGGAUUAUGUGGUUUAAUUCGAAGCAACGCGCAAAACCUUACCUGGGCUUGAACUCCUGAGAAUUCCGGGUAAUUCCGGAAGUGUCCGCAAGGAAAUUCAGUGAGAGGUGCUGCAUGGCUGUCGUCAGCUCGUGUUGUGAAAUGUUGGGUUAAGUCUCGCAACGAGCGCAACCCCUAUCUUUAGUUGCCAGCAUUAAGUUGGGCACUCUAGAGAGACUGCCCGGGUUAACCGGGAGGGAAGGUGGGGAUGACGUCAAGUCCUCAUGGCCCUUAUGUCCAGGGGCUACACACGUAAUACAAUGGUGCAUACAGAGGGGACGCGAACCAGCGA
Molecule: ribosomal RNA, 474 nt
Filed under: uncultured bacterium
Lineage: Bacteria
Description: bacterial SSU rRNA
Rfam family: Bacterial small subunit ribosomal RNA
Source: RNAcentral